GGAGUUUGGACCGUGUCUCAGUUCCAAUGUGGGGGACCUUCCUCUCAGAACCCCUACCCAUCGUAGGUUAGGUGGGCCGUUACCCCGCCUACUGCCUAAUGGGACGCAUCCUCAUCCUGUACCGAUAAAUCUUUGCUUUCUCUGUCAUGCAACAAAAAAGAACAUCGGGCAUUAAUCCUACUUUCGCAGGGCUAUUCCCGUGUGCAGGGUAGAUUGGAUACGCGUUACGCACCCGUGCGCCGGUCGCCAUCACAGAAAGCAAGCUUCCUGCAUGCUGCCCCUCGACUUGCAUGUGUUAAGCCUGUAGCUAGCGUUCAUC
This 319-nucleotide ribosomal RNA is filed under the name uncultured Prevotella sp. RNAcentral's name for it is "partial 16S ribosomal RNA". Lineage: Bacteria; Pseudomonadati; Bacteroidota; Bacteroidia; Bacteroidales; Prevotellaceae. The record is from RNAcentral.